GCUUAUCUUGCAGUUUCCUAAACUUAUUUGUGAAACUAGAACCUUUUGUUGAAUCAUUUUAUGAUAAUGUAUAUACUCUACAUAUAUAAAAUACAUAUUUUCUUAUUCAUGAACAAUGGUUCAAUCAACAUUAUUUUUUAAAAUAUUUAUUUUUUAGUUACAGGUGAACCACGAUAUCUUUAUUUUAUUUUUAUUUGGUACUGAGGAUGGAACCCACUGUCCCACACAUGCUAGGAGAGUACUCUACCUCUGAGCCACAACUCUAGCCCCUCAAUCAAUAUUCUCGUACAUAUAUACCAUGUAUUUAUGUAGUAUAAAUUCCUAGAAGUGAAAUUGCCAUAUCAAGAAAACAUUUGAGCUGGGCAUGGUGGCAUAUGCCUGUAAUCCCACUCACUUGGGAGGCCGAGGCAAAUUUGAGGCCAGCCUGCACAAUUUAGCAAGGCCCUAAGCAACUUAGUGAGACUGUGCCUCAAAGUAAAAAAAUAAAAAGGACUGGGAAUGUAGUUCAGUAGUAAAAGUGCCCCUGUGUACCAUCCCUAGUACCCUGUGAAAAAAGAAAAGAUUUGAAGCCAUAUAGAUAUAUAAAUAUAUGUGAAGCCAUAUAGAUAUAUAAAUAUAUAUUUAUAUUAUAUAAAUAAAUAUAUAAUAAAAUAAAUAAAAAUUACUUAUUUUUUAAUUUAGUGGUACUGGGGCUACCAUUGAGCUAUAUCCCUAACCACUUUUAUUCUUUAGUUUGAGACAGGGUCUUGCAAUUUGCCCAGGCUGACCUCAAACUUGCUAUCCUCUUGCUUCAACUUCCCUAGUUACUGGGAUUACAGGAAUAUGCCACUGUACUUGGCAUAUUUUCUUUAUAAACGCAUUGAAAAGGUCUAGAAGGCCACAGGCCAAACUUAAGAGGAGCUAUCUGUUCUGAGGGGUUUGGGUUUAGGAAGAGGAAAGGACGACAGGAAGAGAUGACAGAGGAUAAGACGACAGAGAGACCUGUGUGUUUCCAUGAGGGGUCAGUCUUCCAUUGGUGCUGUGGAGCAGCAGCUAGGUGUCUCUGUGUGGGUGUUCUGGCCUUCUGUUCAGUAUGUGUUUAUCGAGAUCAUGCAUCUUUGGUAUCCUGUCCUCAUUACAUGUUCAGAUGUGGAUUUCUUAUUCACUCUAGUUUGGAGGGGUUUCUUGAUUUUGUAGAUUCAAGUUUUCCACCCAGUCAUUUUUUAAUUUUGUUUUAUAAAUUAUUUAUUUAUUUUGUGGUACUAGGGAUUGAAUCCAGGGCCUCACCAUGCCAGGCAAGUGCUCUUUACUGAGCUACAUCCCCAGCCCCUAUUGUUUCUUCUUCUUCUUUUUUUUUAAAUAUUUAUUUUUUAGUUUUAGGUGGACACAAUAUCUUUACUUUAUUUAUAUGUGAUGCUGAGAAUCGAACCCAGUGCCUCACGCAUGCUAGGCAAGCACGCUACCACUUGAGCCACAUCCCCAGCCCCUCUAUUGUUUCCUUAAAAAUUGUUUUUCUCCAGUGGCUCAGGAGGCUGAGGCAGGAUCCAGAGGAUCACCUCAGCAACUUAGCAAGUGUUAGGGUCUGUAAACAAGUCAAGACGGCACCUGGUUUUGCCAGAGGGAGUGGUUUGUGAAGUAACACCAGCGAGCCAUUAAGUGUGGAGAUUCCUUAUUGGUUGACUGCUGUAUCUAGUUUAUGUUAAUUAAGAUAAGCUGUGUGUAAUGUAUAUAUACCCCUCCGGUCCUACAAUAAAAGGCUCCCACUCCUGUUGUAUCAAUGUACACAAGUUGCUCAUCACCCCCUGGCUAUUUUGCUGUAGCCGGACUGCGGCAGAUGGUGGUCCAUAUGGGGAGCCCAGGGACACUCUGGGGUAAGUUGACGAGGAAAAGCUGCCCGUCCCUAGAUAGGACGGAAGCAAAUCUGCUCGUCCCUAGGCAGAUAGGGCAAGAGGAAAAAUGGCCAUUUUGAGAAAAUGGAGAGGAUUGAUACAGUAUGUUUGUGUCUUGUUUUGUCUUGAAAUGUUGUAUUGUCUUUGUGACGAAAAUAUGGAAGGGGUGAGAAGUAAAUUACUAAGGGAAGAAGGCACGCCAGUGGAACCAAGAAUAGUUAUGGCAUGUGUUGAUGGAAGCCCAGGAACUCUAGUCAGAAAGAAGAAAGUUCAGAGGAGGAAGGAUUAUCAGGAAAAAAGUUGCAGCAAAAGGCUAUUACUAAAUACUUUUCGUUACCGGAGGGUGCGUGAAUCGUCGCAGUGGCUGCUGCCACGUGCACGAGCCGGUCAUGGCGCAGCAAGGACUUUCCAAGCCAGCCGGCUCUUCCUCACCCCCCCCCCCCACGCCCGGGGAGCGGGACGCCACUGUGAGAGCCCAAAUCCAAACCUGACCCAGAGGCACAGUCUCACAGGCUCUUGCUCCCUGUGCCCAGUGGCAGUUUGAGUCCGGGACACUCCCCGGACUCUCCCCAGGGCCAUCUGGGGAUGCCCGGGAUGCUGCAGGCGGAAGACGGCUGCAUCCCUGAAGUUUGAUCAUUUCCAAGGCCAGUAACUACAUGGUUCUCCCACACCUGGAAGCUAAUGAGUAAUGAGCACUAUUAAGGCUUAUUUCAAAAGUAAAAAACCUUGAGAUAAUGUACUAAAUUGUUCAGAAGGUUGUUUUCUUAGGGCCUGCUGGAAUACUACAGGAUAUUCUUUAGCAUCAUUGCCGGAGUUCCUGCCUUCAUCCCAGUGCCAGUGAGGACGAGGGUGGAAGGAUUUCCAGUGUUGCUGAAAACCGGACAAAACUUCGGCUGAAAACCGGACGAGACUUCAGAUCAAGCUAGCUGCCUGCAGAACUUACCUGAACUGUGAUUUAAGCUAGCUGCUUGCAGAACUUACCUGGACUGUGAACUUACCUGGACUGUGAUUUACCUGGACUGUGAGUUAAUCUAUUGAGACACUUCUUUACCUGGACUGAGACAACAAACUGUAAUCUACAACAAAUUGUAACUCGGUAUCUUUGCUAAAGGUGUCAUUGCUGGUAUAAUUUUUCCAAGGGCUUCUUGCAUGGAGCCAUCAAUUGGCUUGAUAUUGUGGCAUUUUGUAUCCUCCCCUUCUGCUUGUAGCAGAUUAUUUAUGGUGUUUGUGUAAAAACCACUAUGGUCGUUAUUUAAAUUAAAUAAAAGGGGGAAAUGUUAGGGUCUGUAAACAAGUCAAGACAGCGCCUGGUUUUGCCAGAGGGAGUGGUUUGUGAAGUAACACCAGCGAGCCAUUAAGUGUGGAGAUUCCUUAUUGGUUGACUGCUGUAUCUAGUUUAUGUUAAUUAAGAUAAGCUGUGUGUAAUGUAUAUAUACCCCUCCGGUCCUACAAUAAAAGGCUCCCACUCCUGCUGUAUCAAUGUACACAAGUUGCUCGUCACACCCCGCCCCGCUAUUUUGCUGCAGCCGGACUGCGGCAAGCAAGGACCUAAGCAACUUAGAGAGACCCUGACUCAAAGUUAAAAAAAUAAAAACCAGGUUGAGGAUGUGGCUCAGUGGUUGAAUGCCCCUGGGUUCAAUCCCUAGUAUAAAUAAAAAGUACUUUUCCUCCAUUCUCUCUAUCCCUUCUUUCUGGGGCUCAAAUUUGAUGUUAGAUCUUCUUAUUAUGUUCUCUUUCUGCUUCUUUCAC
This 3617-nucleotide long non-coding RNA is filed under the name Marmota monax (woodchuck). The record is from RNAcentral. Lineage: Eukaryota; Metazoa; Chordata; Mammalia; Rodentia; Sciuridae.